GGGGCGGACGGUACGUUUACUUUGAACAAAUUUGAGUGCUCAAAGCAGGCCUGUGCCUGAAAAUUCUUGCAUGGAAUAAUGGAAUAGGACUUCGGUUCUAUUUUGUUGGUUUUCGGAUCCGAAGUAAUGGUUAAGAGGGACAGACGGGGGCAUUUGUAUGGCGGUGUUAGAGGUGAAAUUCUUGGAUCGCCGCCAGACAAACUACAGCGAAAGCAUUUGCCAAGGAUGUUUUCAUUGAUCUGGAGCGAAAGUCAGAGGUUCGAAGACGAUCAGAUACCGUCCUAGUUCUGACCAUAAACGAUGCCAACUGACGAUCCGUGGGUGAUCUUUUAAUGACCCUGCGGGCAGUCCCCGGGAAACCUUUAAGUCUUUGGGCUCCGGGGGAAGUAUGGUUGCAAAGCUGAAACUUAAAGGAAUUGACGGAAGGGCACCACCAGGAGUGGAGCCUGCGGCUUAAUUCGACUCAACACGGGAAAACUCACCCGGCCCGGACACUGUGAGGAUUGACAGAUUGAUAGCUCUUUCUUGAUUCGGUGGUUGGUGGUGCAUGGCCGUUCUUAGUUGGUGGAGCGAUUUGUCUGGUUAAUUCCGAUAACGAACGAGACUUUGGCCUGCUAAAUAGUAUACCUGUCCUCUGUGCUCGUGCAGGUGGCGGUUCUCUCUGCCCUUUCGGGGGUGGGUGAGGCUGUUUACCGGCGGGUACUGCGCAGGCAUUUACUUCUUAGAGGGACAAGCGACGCGAAAGUCGCACGAAAAUGAGCAAUAACAGGUCUGUGAUGCCCUUAGAUGUCCGGGGCCGCACGUGCGCUACAAUGACGGUUUCAGCGAGUUUUGAAUCCUGGCCCGAAAGGGUUGGGCAAACUGAAUCAUCACCGUCGUGACUGGGAUCGGGGCUUGCAAUUAUUCCCCGUGAACGAGGAAUUCCUGGUAAGUGCAAGUCAUAAGCUUGCGCUGAUUACGUCCCUGCCCUUUGUACACACCGCCCGUCGCUACUACCGAUUGAAUGGUUUAGCAAGGUCAUCGGAUCGGUGCCAUUGUAGUUGUUUCGGCAACUCGACCGG
Molecule: ribosomal RNA, 1061 nt
Filed under: Choanocotyle hobbsi
Lineage: Eukaryota; Metazoa; Platyhelminthes; Trematoda; Plagiorchiida; Choanocotylidae
Description: SSU rRNA
Rfam family: Eukaryotic small subunit ribosomal RNA
Source: RNAcentral